AGGCAGCAGUGAGGAAUAUUGGUCAAUGGGCGAGAGCCUGAACCAGCCAAGUAGCGUGAAGGAUGACUGCCCUAUGGGUUGUAAACUUCUUUUAUAAAGGAAUAAAGUCGGGUAUGCAUACCCGUUUGCAUGUACUUUAUGAAUAAGGAUCGGCUAACUCCGUGCC
This 166-nucleotide ribosomal RNA is filed under the name uncultured bacterium. RNAcentral's name for it is "partial 16S ribosomal RNA". It matches the Rfam family "Bacterial small subunit ribosomal RNA", at positions 346 to 509 of the family's 1533-position model. The record is from RNAcentral.